Molecule: ribosomal RNA, 820 nt
Filed under: uncultured Christensenella sp.
Lineage: Bacteria; Bacillati; Bacillota; Clostridia; Christensenellales; Christensenellaceae
Description: bacterial SSU rRNA
Rfam family: Bacterial small subunit ribosomal RNA
Source: RNAcentral
CAUGCCGCAGCUUACCUGCAAGUCGAACGAAGUUGCUCUUUGGGAAGCCCUCGGGUGGAACUGUGAGUAUACUUAGUGGCGGACGGGUGAGUAACGCGUGAGCAAUCUGCCCUGCAAUGGGGGACAACAGUUGGAAACGACUGCUAAUACCGCAUAAGACCACGAAACCGCAUGGUUUAGAGGUAAAAGGAUUCAUUCGAUGCAGGAUGAGCUCGCGUCCCAUUAGAUAGUUGGUGAGGUAACGGCCCACCAAGUCAACGAUGGGUAGCCGACCUGAGAGGGUGAUCGGCCACAUUGGAACUGAGAAACGGUCCAAACUCCUACGGGAGGCAGCAGUGGGGAAUAUUGGGCAAUGGGGGAAACCCUGACCCAGCAACGCCGCGUGAAGGAAGAAGGCCUUCGGGUUGUAAACUUUUGUCCUAUGGGACGAAAAAAAUGACGGUACCAUAGGAGGAAGCUCCGGCUAACUACGUGCCAGCAGCCGCGGUAAUACGUAGGGAGCAAGCGUUGUCCGGAAUUACUGGGCGUAAAGGGUGCGUAGGUGGCCAUGUAAGUCAGGUGUGAAAGACCGGGGCUCAACCCCGGGGUUGCACUUGAAACUGUGUGGCUUGAGUACAGGAGAGGGAAGUGGAAUUCCUAGUGUAGCGGUGAAAUGCGUAGAUAUUAGGAGGAACACCAGUGGCGAAGGCGACUUUCUGGACUGUAACUGACACUGAGGCACGAAAGCGUGGGGAGCAAACAGGAUUAGAUACCCUGGUAGUCCACGCCGUAAACGAUGGAUACUAUGUGUGGGGGGGCGAUAGUCCUCCGUGCCGAAGCU